Molecule: microRNA precursor, 130 nt
Filed under: Hordeum vulgare
Lineage: Eukaryota; Viridiplantae; Streptophyta; Magnoliopsida; Poales; Poaceae
Description: microRNA MIR1122
Source: RNAcentral
GUUGUACUCCCUCCGUUCCUAAAUAUAAGUCUUUUUAGAUAUUCCACUAGGAGACUACAUACGCAUCCGUAUGUAGUCUCCUAGUGGAAUAUCUAAAAAGACUUAUAUUUAGGAACGGAGGGAGUACCAA